Molecule: long non-coding RNA, 1178 nt
Filed under: Triticum aestivum (bread wheat)
Lineage: Eukaryota; Viridiplantae; Streptophyta; Magnoliopsida; Poales; Poaceae
Description: long non-coding RNA (TAES_LNC027341)
Source: RNAcentral
AAAGAAUGGAACCGAUUUUAUGGUGAGUCUCUCCUGUAGGAUUCUACUAAUGUUUAUUUGGCUUGAAGAAUGUUACAUGACGUAUUUCUCUGCCCCUUGUGUAUGACUUUUUCCUUACAUUCCCGUAUGUUUUGACAAAGAGCAAAUAUUAUUUGCAGUGAAAAAUACUAUGAUUAAAGCAUACAUGGUAGUAGCCCGAAAUAUUAUUUGUUGCCUUAGUUAUAAUGAUCUAUAUAAGUAAUUUCAUCCUGAUAUGUAUGCGUACGUUUCUUUUGUUAUAGAUUUUACUGAAUGGAUAUGUUAUAACCUCCAUGAUAUUUGAGUGGUCCAGAAUCAAGACGCAUUUUACCCUUCGAUGAACAAUGCAAGGUUUCUUUUGCCCUAAAUUUGAAUCCCAAUAGAAAUUCAACAGGAAUUUAAAAUUCUUAGUUGAUGAUUCAUUUCAGUGUUCAGUACAAUGAGGCUAGAUUAUUUUCAUAAAAUGCCUGCUAAAAUCAUCCUUCGGCCAUCUUUUACUACUCUUGUUCGGUUGUUUAAUGCUGAGUAAUCAAAUAUAUUCUAUGAAGUGCUUCUUGGUAUUUUACAACCGUUUACUCUGAAUUCUGGUCUUCAUGCCUUCAGACAAUUUUCAGGUUGCUUUUCCACGAUUUCAAAUAACUUAUACUGCGCUCGGGGCGUAUCUAGAUCUAGCACAGAAGAGAUGAGUUUCUUGAAGACCCGAAAAAUGAUAAUACUAACAUGAUUGUUUUUAAUAAUGCCAGUCCUGUUCCAUAAAAUAAACAUAGAAUUACAAAGCUCGUGUUCACUCCUGCAAAAAAAAAUCAUAAUAGUUAAUUCUGCUGUAGUUGUAGAUGUACAUCAUUUAUUCUCGCAACAGUUAAUUCUAAGGCCAUUCAUAUCGUUGCAGAUUUUGCCUAUUCUCUGAGAUGGAUGAUGAUGAGCGGUGCAACCGAAAAUUCAGAGCUGGGCUUUACACACUUCAGUGGGUAAGUGAAGUUCCAGUUUUUCUUCUUUACCCUAUUACUGCUCUGUUGUACAUAGAGCAGUGAGUUUAUAUUAGCUAAAUGUUAGAUUGGAAUGCAGGAGUAGCAUGACAACACCAAGGUAGAGACCUGAAGAGAAGCAAGGGGUUGGACCAAGGAAACUAGAACCAUGUUGUCGUGAUGUGGGUCGUGUCG